GAGGCAGAGGAAGAGGCAGCAGUUGAACUAGGACUUGGAGGGCAGGCUGCCACCGCAGGCACAGGACCUGGGAAGAGCGUUUCCUUUGACAGGACCCUGGGUGGAGAGAGCCAAGAGGCGUGGAGCCCUGUGCGUAGGGGGGGACACAGGCGCGAAGUGCCCGGAGAUGUGUGCGCUUCACCUGUGCCUCGGCCAAGCAGCAGAAUCUCCCAGCACACUGGGUCUCAGACUGGAGGAGAAGGCCUCUGUCUAUUAAGUGCUACCUGCCUUCGGCUUCCUAGAGUGGUAGCAGGUGCUGCACGGCCAGGGUACUUAGAGGUGGAGGCUCUCAGCGUGUAGAAAUAUCACCACCGGCACAGAUGGCACAGCUGAUGGCGUCACCCUCCUCCUUGGAAAGCAAGCUGGCACCCCUGUGCGGCGAAUGCUCCUCGGAAGAGUACUCACUGUGUAACCAGACACGCCCAACAUCCGAUGGUCUCACCGCACAGUGGACACGCAAACCUGUCAUGACGUCGGUGGGAUGAUCCAGCCAGAAUGCCCUCACUAGAAGCUGGCACCAUGUCCUUGAACCUUCUAGGCUCCAAAAUAAAAGAAGUCUCUGUCCUUUAAGAAUUAGCUAGUGUUUGGUAUUUUGUUCUGACAGCACAAAAUGACUUAAGACCCUGGAGAAGGCCUUCAGCUUCUCAGUUUUCAGCUGUCAGGUUAAAAAGGGUGCUGAAUGUACAUGGCAGUUUAAUUUUCUGUCCGGGUGCUUCAUUCAAUAUCUUAGUUACUCUGCUCUACCCUUUUUUGUCUUUCACUUCUAAUGUCAAGAGUGGUUUCUACCAACCAAGUGGAGCAGAGGCAGAAAUACAUUGAAUGAGUUGGGCUAUAACUUCAUACAAUCUCUUGAUUUCUCAAAGGAGAAAACAGAAGCAAAAUGAAGACAACUUCUUCCCAUUCAGGGAUGUGCAGAGGAGAGUCACGGGUGGCAAGAGAGAGUGCACAUCCCCAGAUGCACUGCUCUGCCCACCUUGUCUUCCUUCUUCUGUGAUCUCCAGUGGGCAAAAUGUUAUUGCACAGCUUUGGAAAGCAGCUGAAUUCACUUUCAUUCUUGUUAGGACAUUUGGACUGGCUGUAAUCUGCCCAUGGUUGGAUGAGAAGCACACCAUGUACACAUACUCCUAACAUGACUUGAAGAGAAGCUCCUUCUGUUUCUCAGUAUCCUGUGGGGAGAACACAUUCCCUAGAUGCCCAGGCUUGUUAGGGCCUACGAAAGGCUGCAUCCCAACAACUCUGUCUUACUUCAACACCCACAAUUUAAAAGAGGAAAGCUCACAGUUUGUAGAU
This is a long non-coding RNA of Fukomys damarensis (Damara mole-rat), 1329 nucleotides long. RefSeq lists it as uncharacterized. Lineage: Eukaryota; Metazoa; Chordata; Mammalia; Rodentia; Bathyergidae. The record is from RefSeq and is a predicted model, not a curated record. The transcript has 3 exons.